UUCGCUUUUUGUCCAGCUCUCUUCGUCAGAGGCAUCAUCAAAAGGUUGUGUUAUUUGUUUCAAUAAAAUCUAUACACUUAAUCUUUUAUUAAUUUUUGUGCUCUCUGGCUCUUCUUCUUUCAACUCAAAAGUGGAAUUAGUAAAUUUUGAUAAAGACCUUCUAUUAAAUCAAAAUUUGUCAUCUCAAUUUGAAAAAAAAAUUUUAAGCCUGGGAGGAAUAAGUUUAUCUAAUACUAUAAAUAAGAUUAUACCUACCAUUAUAACAUAAACUGUGUCGUCAACUAACUUUUGGUACAGUUUUCAUGGAACUCUUGCUGUAAAGGAUCUCCAUUUUUCAUCGAUAAUCAUAAGUGCUACACGAAAAAAAAUUGCAUCUACUGUAACAGAUGUACAAGAACGCAUUAAAGAUUGGUUGCGUAGACCAUCUGACAGGCAGAAAAAAAAGAGAGGAGUCAAUCAACAGCCUAUAUUGUGAUUAAUUUUCUAAUUGUGCUUAAACCAGUGAUUCUUAAGUAUGACAUAAGUAUAAAGUAUUUUGUUAUCGUAAAAAAACAAUUGUAAAAAAUACACUUUUAAAAAUAUCUAUUAUAAUGAAGGCAUCGUGCAAUUCAAAGAACUAUAGAUACCUUUGAAUUGAAUGAAUUGAUUGAUUAAUUUAUAAUUUAAAGGCCAUUAUUCAAAUGAAUUAUAAAUUUGUUCAAUUUAAAGGUAUCUGUGGUUCUUUGAGUUGCGUAAAUGCUACUAUUAUAUUAUUUAAUACUAUUUAAACGAUACCCUCAAGAUAUCAUUUAAUUUACACAGCAGAUAUCUGUAAGAUAUCAUUGAAUUUAGCACCACAGAUAUCUAAAAGACAUCCUUAAUUCUUGCUCAAAAGACAUCCAUAAGAGAUCAAAAACAUUUACGGUAUGACAA
Long non-coding RNA from Copidosoma floridanum, 912 nucleotides. The record is from RefSeq and is a predicted model, not a curated record. NCBI's taxonomy places the organism in Eukaryota, Metazoa, Arthropoda, Insecta, Hymenoptera, Encyrtidae.